Molecule: small nucleolar RNA, 137 nt
Filed under: Oryza meridionalis
Lineage: Eukaryota; Viridiplantae; Streptophyta; Magnoliopsida; Poales; Poaceae
Description: Small nucleolar RNA Z247
Rfam family: Small nucleolar RNA Z247
About the family: Z247 is a member of the C/D class of snoRNA which contain the C (UGAUGA) and D (CUGA) box motifs. Most of the members of the box C/D family function in directing site-specific 2'-O-methylation of substrate RNAs.
Source: Rfam by way of RNAcentral
CAAUGCGAUGCUGAAGAACUAACUGCUUUUAUUUUGAAUGGAUUAGAUGAUGAUUAUGAUUUUGUUGUAUUGGCUCUAGCAGCCAAAACUGAACCUAUUACUCUGUCAGAGACAUGCACAACUUCUGAAUUUUGAGA